This 23-nucleotide microRNA is filed under the name Sarcophilus harrisii (Tasmanian devil). Its description in RNAcentral is "Sha-Mir-12475-P29_5p (mature (guide))". The record is from RNAcentral. Lineage: Eukaryota; Metazoa; Chordata; Mammalia; Dasyuromorphia; Dasyuridae.
UAGCCUUUCUGAAAUCACAUUGU